Mercurialis annua (annual mercury) is the source of this 452-nucleotide long non-coding RNA. RefSeq lists it as uncharacterized. Lineage: Eukaryota; Viridiplantae; Streptophyta; Magnoliopsida; Malpighiales; Euphorbiaceae. The record is from RefSeq and is a predicted model, not a curated record. The transcript is spliced from 4 exons.
GGUAAUCUCAUUUUUAAUUCAUUUUCAAUUUGAUUUACAUGCUUAAUGUUUUAGAACCGGUUUUUGUGCGUGAAUUUGUUUUCCAUAUUCUUAUUCAGGUUCUUGGAUUAGCUGUUAACAGGAAUCCAAAGUUCACCAAUCUUGUUGAGGUUUAUUACUGCUGCUGAUGUGAAAACUCAUGGUGAUCGUUACUUAUUGAUUGCUAAAAGGGGAGGCCUAAAACAUUAUAGGGAUAACAAAUGUUGUCAUUGAACCGUAUAUUCUGAAUGCUACUCUUGUUGUUACAAAACUGAAUCAAAAAUCAUUCUGAAAGAUUCUAGGGUAUAGAUGUGUUAGCAGGAUUAGAAGCAGUUAUCAGUCAUCUAGUGGUUAAGGAAUUCCAGAUUCCUUGUGCACAUGCUCCUGCAAUGCUGCCACAACCUUUGACCAGAGCUCUUUGUCCCAAAUCAGCU